AAAACUACCUGUCAGGGGAGAUACCAUGAUCAUGAAGGCGUUUUUCCCAGGGUGAGACUCAUCCAUUGCAGUCUGGAUGUGCUGACUCCAGCGAUUUUCCCAAAUGCGGAAAACUCAGCUGAAUUAUUUGUGGUGCAGGGGGUUCUGUACUAAAUGUCCUUA
Small nuclear RNA from Rhineura floridana, 162 nucleotides. RefSeq annotates it as U1 spliceosomal RNA. The transcript has a single exon. Lineage: Eukaryota; Metazoa; Chordata; Lepidosauria; Squamata; Rhineuridae. The record is from RefSeq and is a predicted model, not a curated record.